Molecule: long non-coding RNA, 2134 nt
Filed under: Anser brachyrhynchus (Pink-footed goose)
Lineage: Eukaryota; Metazoa; Chordata; Aves; Anseriformes; Anatidae
Description: lncRNA (ENSABRG00000005371.1)
Source: RNAcentral
UUAUUUUUUUGUCUGGCUCUUCAAAGAUGUAACUUCUGUGACAUGUUUUGCAGCUUCUCUUGUGCGUGAGAGAGUAAAGGACACUUUGAUUCACUUGAGAUCCCUAGACAUGUUAAAAAAAAAGUGGAAGAAAAAAGUACAAGAAAACACACUCAUGCAACUGCUGAGGUGACGUAACCAGGGAAACCCUGGAAUUGAAAACCUGUCUUCCUGUAAAUGCCUAGCAUGCCAUCAGAGACCCCCUAACUGCUCCAAGUGGGAAGAGCAGUUCAUUCCUUGGUUGUGGCCCUUGUGGAAGCAACUUGCAAAGCAUGAUGAGCAGCAAUAGACGUCAGGACCUUCCCUAUUGGUACUCAUGUAUUUCCAAGAUCCUGCCAAACCUAUGGGGACAAGGAGGAGGCCUGAAUGACGAAUUCAGUCAGCAUUGUUACCAGUCUGAUCACCAUCUGAAUGUUGCCAAAGAAAAAUGAUAUCUUCCUGACAAGAAAUCAGCUACUGCCUGAAACCUCUGACUCUGAGGAAAAGAGAAACCUAUAAGCUGCAUGUACUUGCCCAGAUCGUCUUGCAGUUGGAAAUUCACAUGUGCCUGCAACCCUCCAGAGGAGAAAGUGAUUCAAAGGCUCUUCUUAGAUUACGAUGGGAAGUGGAGACCCAGACUUCAGGCACAAACUGGAGAGGACUUUGGUGCCAGCGUGACAUCCUUUGAGAUAGUUGCAGCUCAAAAGACCGUUGAAAUGAGCAGAGCCAGAGUUUGAUUAGACACUGAGAAAAAGAGUAGCUCAGGUCAGUUAAUCUAUCAUAUUACAUAUGGCAGAUCUAUAUGGUAUGAUACUGUUUCUCUGCCUGCUCUCAAAUUGUGUAAUUGAAGGGAUACAGUCUUCAAAUAUGUCCUUGCCUGAACAGUAGCUGUUCUGAUUUGCUUAGUGCUCUUGAUGUAGGACUCAAGAAACUACCCCAGAAAAUUCAUGGAAAUAGUGAGAGAAAUAUUUGUGUAGCAGCUUGUAGAGCUCACAAGAAUGGUGUUUUGGGAGGAAUAGGAAAUGUAUGGAGAGAGAAACCAAGCUGUUCAAGGGUAUGAAACAGUUUCUGUCCAAGCAGCACAUAAACAGAUUUGGACUCUUCAGCCCAUUACUGCCAUGACAGACAUUGAUAAAAUCAUGAGUCUGGUCUCCAAAACCAGCAAGUGACUUCGGAUUUUAUUAUUCUUAGUUGCCAUCUAGACACCCCAAAACCUGAGGAAGUUUCCUGUGCUUUAUAUACAACUUUCUUGACAUUUCUGAGCCACAGCUGAAGGUGAUUACUUUGCAGACACUUAAAAAAUCAUACUGGGAGGGGAUGCAUGAAGCAGAAAUAUUCAAAACUACAUGGGCAAUGGAGCUUGGAAUAACCAGUACUCAGACGGAUGAACUGAAAUCACAGGUAGUACAUUCACUACCACCUUUCCAUUCCAAAGAGAAUUUCAGUGCCAAAGUGGUGAUAUUUCAGUACUCCACUGAUAUAGCAAAAAUAAGGAAAGAGAACUGUAAUUGUUGAAAAGGACAUUUCUUGUAAGUUAAAAAAAAAAAAAAGUAAAACAACAAAUGCAUCUCACACUUUCUUGGAAAUGAUCCCCUCCAUCUUUCCCCCCCCUUUCAUCAUACUCACACAUGCCUGUAAUCUCCUUCCCCCAAAUCCUACAGGGCAAAGCCCUCAGUGGGUGGUUAAGAAAUUAAAAAGUCAGCCCAGCUACACAAGAGAGGAUAUUAACUGAUGUCAAAGUUCUUGUUUGGCAUCCCUGCAAGGGUACAGGGUUGAUGUACUUCUGGAAGAUGCCUCUGUGUUUUUCCUUUAACCUGACUUCUGAGAACUCUCCUAACUCUCUGACUUCUGAGAACUCUUGUGUAAUUGCUCCUUUCACAAAUCUCUAGCUGUACCAGAAAAAAUUGUUGCCCUGAGGUCAAGAUUCAGUUGUGUUGUGUCAUCAUUGAAGCCUGUUCUCAUUUCUGAUUCUGGCAGGCUGGCUACCUGGCUUCAAUGAAGGUGAUCAGUAUGACCUCCAGUCCAGUUGUGGAGACAUAGACAGAACAUCCACAAGGUGAACUGGAUCAUUUGAAUGCAAAUCUGAAUAUAAUAAAUACGUCUGUGGCUUCUUCCA